Molecule: long non-coding RNA, 1865 nt
Organism: Lolium rigidum
Lineage: Eukaryota; Viridiplantae; Streptophyta; Magnoliopsida; Poales; Poaceae
Exons: 10
Source: RefSeq, a predicted model, not a curated record
UUUAUUCUGCAACUUAUACGAGAAAUUUAUUUGUAUCUCGACUCCGCGUUAUUGUGUCACUAUGACAACAACAAUUUACAGCCUUCUCGUCAUCAACUAGUCCGGUGGCCUUAUAUACUACAAAAGGACUAUGGUUCGGCCGGGAGAAUGGACACCAACGGCAAUCUACAAUUUACAAGCCACUCACAUUUGAUGCAUGAUGUCUUGCGUCAGUUGUCCCCUACCACUGGUUGUAAUGGCAUUAACAUCCUACAGGCCUGCAGCUUCAACCUACAUUGCUUCCAUUCUCCCAUAGCAAUAUUAUCAAAGCAUCUUCUAUGAAGGGAUUGCUAUUAAUUUCGGCCUUAUAGAGGCUCAGGAACAGAAAGGUUUCGUCUUUGGCAUCCAUGGUGGCGGCAGCGCGACCGUAUGGACCACGUAGAGCUGAUGUUGCCAGCCGAUAAGCCGUAGCCCUUGGACCCUCACCAACCCCGCUGUCCUCGGGCCCUGGACUGUCUGCGAGAAUUAGGAGUUCAAUCGUAAACCAGGUGAUAGAAGACAUCUUAAAAACUGAUUCGUGGUACCCGUACCCAGACAUUUGGAAGGGAUAAAGCAAAAUAGUUAAAUUACCCGAGCCACAUGGAAAUUGAACUUGUCAUGUCAACAAUUCUGGUGGACGGGGGUCUGUCUUUGGGUAUCAAGAUGGAGAGAAGCUUUGUUCAACGUGUGUGAGAGGACUUGACAAUAUUCAGGGUGUGCUCCAAGCUGAGAUUAGGGCAGCAAGGAAGGCUAUUAGCAUCGGAAUUAACCUAGGAGACCUAUUUCUAACGGUUACAUUGUUGGGAGAUGCACGAUGUCCUUUGGAAGAUCCUCCUUCCAAUAACCAAGCUAGAGAAGUUCAGUGUGGAACCAUGUCCAUGAUGUCACUUGCCCCUCGGCUUUGCCUACUUCCGGCUUCGCCUCUGUCCUGGUUGCACGGUAUAGCUAUUUAUAUGGAACAUGGACGGCCGAAUAUACUUUUAUACUAGGCCAAGUAGCAAACGAGAAGCAUAUAAUCCAACGUCUGAAUUAUGUAGGUAAAGGAAGACUUGGACAUGGAACACUUUCUGAAUGUUUGCAUUUGUCCCAUGUACUUGUUAAUUGUUGUUGGCGUCAAGGGUGUGUUGGGUGCUCAAGGCCAAGUGAACCUGCUGCAAGAUGUAAAUGAUCACGUAUAGAAGCAGCAACUCUGGUCUUAGCCACAGAACUCCGCUGGUGAGCCCCGGUCCACCUGGAGCUGCUGCUGGCAUCUUGUGACUACCACGUCCCCGAGCAAUUGCUAUGAGUAACUGAAAAAGUUGGAAGUAUGAAAGGUUUCGGUAGACCGAAGAUAAGAAAUUUGAGCGUGACCAUCUUCAUUGGCAUCUCGAGGCAGAGGUAAUUUUCGUACCAAAAUUCCGACCCCUGUUAGGAGCAUUCUAGGCAUACUGUUUUUCAUGGUCAGAUCUAAAUUCAUGUUAUUUACUUUCAACAGUGCGAUUAUAAGAAUGCCAAGAAGGAGCAGGUGUCAAGCUGCUCACCUAGAAAUGCAUCUUCUAGGGUCUUCUCAGGAGGCACGCCAAGUGGAAUGCCUGGCUUCGCUGGAGGAAUGGAUGGAUGGUGGUAUGCCUCGGGAAUGGCUGGUGGUAUGCGUGGAUCUGGAGGAGCUCCCGGUCCCGAUGUCUACAUUUGGUAUGUUCUAUUUGACUCUUGCUCGGAGAUGUAAGUUCUAUUUUGUAUUAAAGACUCCUUUUGAAAUUACAUUUUUCUAGUUGAUGCAUACUUUUUCUAGAUGCAUCAUUUGCUUGUGUCAAACAAUUAAGAAUAUAACCAAAAAUUACUGUUUGCCCUUUAGGUUCCUGAUAUGC